AACGAACGCUGGCGGCAUGCCUAACACAUGCAAGUCGAACGAGACCUUCGGGUCUAGUGGCGCACGGGUGCGUAACGCGUGGGAACCUGCCCUUAGGUUCGGAAUAACUCCCCGAAAGGGGUGCUAAUACCGGAUAAUGUCUUCGGACCAAAGAUUUAUCGCCUUUGGAUGGGCCCGCGUUGGAUUAGCUAGUUGGUAGGGUAAAAGCCUACCAAGGCGACGAUUCAUAGCUGGUCUGAGAGGAUGAUCAGCCACACUGGGACUGAGACACGGCCCAGUCUCCUACGGGAGGCAGCAGUGGGGAAUAUUGGACAAUGGGCGAAAGCCUGAUCCAGCAAUGCCGCGUGAGUGAUGAAGGCCUUAGGGUUGUAAAGCUCUUUUACCCGGGAUGAUAAUGACAGUACCGGGAGAAUAAGCUCCGGCUAACUCCGUG
This 433-nucleotide ribosomal RNA is filed under the name uncultured bacterium. RNAcentral describes it as "partial 16S ribosomal RNA". It matches the Rfam family "Bacterial small subunit ribosomal RNA", at positions 29 to 507 of the family's 1533-position model. The record is from RNAcentral.